UCCCUGGUGACCUAGCAGGUUAGGGAUCCAGCAUUGUCACUGCUGUGGCAUGGGUUCAAUCCCUGGCCUGGGAA
Molecule: transfer RNA, 74 nt
Filed under: Sus scrofa (pig)
Lineage: Eukaryota; Metazoa; Chordata; Mammalia; Artiodactyla; Suidae
Rfam family: tRNA
About the family: Transfer RNA (tRNA) molecules are approximately 80 nucleotides in length. Their secondary structure includes four short double-helical elements and three loops (D, anti-codon, and T loops). Further hydrogen bonds mediate the characteristic L-shaped molecular structure. tRNAs have two regions of fundamental functional importance: the anti-codon, which is responsible for specific mRNA codon recognition, and the 3' end, to which the tRNAs corresponding amino acid is attached (by aminoacyl-tRNA synthetases). tRNAs cope with the degeneracy of the genetic code in two manners: having more than one tRNA (with a specific anti-codon) for a particular amino acid; and 'wobble' base-pairing, i.e. permitting non-standard base-pairing at the 3rd anti-codon position.
Source: Rfam by way of RNAcentral